The sequence is a regulatory RNA element, 59 nucleotides long. It matches the Rfam family "Ribosomal protein L13 leader". From Rfam's summary of the family: This family is a putative r-protein leader autoregulatory structure found in B. subtilis and other low-GC Gram-positive bacteria. It is located in the 5' untranslated regions of mRNAs encoding the L13-S9 (rplM-rpsI) ribosomal protein operon. The record is from Rfam.
GGUAUUGUUUGCCCCACAAUAAGCCCCGGAAACUUAUAUUGGUGUCGAACAAACACAGA